UUUUAAGAUACACAACAUUGGAUGUGUUUUUUGUCGAGAGUGGCUAGACCAAAACAAAAAAAACAAGUCUAAACUGAGAAAUAUUAGACAAUAUGUUCACCACUGGAUUUCUAUAUCGACAAAUGUUACAAUAUAUGUUCCAUUGAGCUCCUAACAUGAGCGCCAACUGACUAUAACUGACUAAACCAUGAUUGGUUAUCAAUUGUACAGCAAAAUAUAAACAUUGUUAGCCAAAAUAAAAG
Molecule: non-coding RNA, 242 nt
Organism: Pelobates cultripes (western spadefoot toad)
Lineage: Eukaryota; Metazoa; Chordata; Amphibia; Anura; Pelobatidae
Source: the annotation of a GenBank genome assembly